AUUGAACGCUGGCGGCAGGCCUAACACAUGCAAGUCGAGCGGAUGAAGGGAGCUUGCUCCUGGAUUCAGCGGCGGACGGGUGAGUAAUGCCUAGGAAUCUGCCUGGUAGUGGGGGAUAACGUCCGGAAACGGGCGCUAAUACCGCAUACGUCCUGAGGGAGAAAGUGGGGGAUCUUCGGACCUCACGCUAUCAGAUGAGCCUAGGUCGGAUUAGCUAGUUGGUGGGGUAAAGGCCUACCAAGGCGACGAUCCGUAACUGGUCUGAGAGGAUGAUCAGUCACACUGGAACUGAGACACGGUCCAGACUCCUACGGGAGGCAGCAGUGGGGAAUAUUGGACAAUGGGCGAAAGCCUGAUCCAGCCAUGCCGCGUGUGUGAAGAAGGUCUUCGGAUUGUAAAGCACUUUAAGUUGGGAGGAAGGGCAGUAAGUUAAUACCUUGCUGUUUUGACGGUACCAACAGAAUAGGCACCGGCUAACUUCGUG
Molecule: ribosomal RNA, 484 nt
Filed under: uncultured bacterium
Lineage: Bacteria
Description: partial 16S ribosomal RNA
Rfam family: Bacterial small subunit ribosomal RNA
Source: RNAcentral